UGGAAGAGUGUCCGAGUGGCUUAAGGAGCACGCUUGGAAAGCGUGUGUUACGCGUAAGCGUACCGUGGGUUCGAAUCCCACUUCUUCCGU
This 90-nucleotide transfer RNA is filed under the name Candidatus Anoxychlamydiales bacterium. RNAcentral describes it as "tRNA-Ser". It matches the Rfam family "tRNA". From Rfam's summary of the family: Transfer RNA (tRNA) molecules are approximately 80 nucleotides in length. The record is from RNAcentral. Lineage: Bacteria; Pseudomonadati; Chlamydiota; Chlamydiia; Candidatus Anoxychlamydiales.